This 255-nucleotide ribosomal RNA is filed under the name uncultured bacterium. Its description in RNAcentral is "partial 16S ribosomal RNA". It matches the Rfam family "Bacterial small subunit ribosomal RNA", at positions 524 to 776 of the family's 1533-position model. The record is from RNAcentral.
UACGUAGGGGGCAAGCGUUGUCCGGAUUUAUUGGGCGUAAAGAGCGUGUAGGCGGCCUGAAAGGUCAGCUGUGAAAACUCGAGGCUCAACCUCGAGACGUCGGUUGAAACCAUCUGGCUAGAGUCCGGAAGAGGAGUGUGGAAUUCCCGGUGUAGCGGUGAAAUGCGCAGAUAUCGGGAAGAACACCCGUGGCGAAGGCGGCCUGCUGGGCAGUUUUGCUGACACUGAGGCGCGACAGCGUGGGGAGCAAACAGG